GAUGAACGCUGGCGGCGUGCCUAACACAUGCAAGUCGAACGGUCCGCAAGGACAGUGGCGCACGGGUGAGGAACACGUAGCUGACCUGCCUCAGAGAGCGGGAUAACGGGUCGAAAGACCUGCUAAUACCGCAUAAGCUCACGGUGUUUGGAAGGCUGUGAGAAAAGGAGCAAUCCGCUUUGAGAGGGGGCUGCGACCCAUCAGGUAGUUGGUAAGGUAACGGCUACCAAGCCGACGACGGGUAACGGGUCUGAGAGGAUGAUCCGUCACACUGGGACUGAGACACGGCCCAGACUCCUACGGGAGGCAGCAGUGAGGAAUAUUGCGCAAUGGGCGAAAGCCUGACGCAGCGACG
This 355-nucleotide ribosomal RNA is filed under the name uncultured bacterium. Its description in RNAcentral is "bacterial SSU rRNA". It matches the Rfam family "Bacterial small subunit ribosomal RNA", at positions 28 to 396 of the family's 1533-position model. The record is from RNAcentral.